GGUCCCGUAGCUCAGUUGGAUAGAGCACCUGCCUUCUAAGCUGGCGGUCGUUGGUUCGAAUCCAACCGGGAUCA
Molecule: transfer RNA, 74 nt
Filed under: Flavobacteriales bacterium
Lineage: Bacteria; Pseudomonadati; Bacteroidota; Flavobacteriia; Flavobacteriales
Description: tRNA-Arg
Rfam family: tRNA
About the family: Transfer RNA (tRNA) molecules are approximately 80 nucleotides in length. Their secondary structure includes four short double-helical elements and three loops (D, anti-codon, and T loops).
Source: RNAcentral